This is a long non-coding RNA of Triticum dicoccoides, 490 nucleotides long. RefSeq lists it as uncharacterized. NCBI's taxonomy places the organism in Eukaryota, Viridiplantae, Streptophyta, Magnoliopsida, Poales, Poaceae. The transcript has 2 exons. The record is from RefSeq and is a predicted model, not a curated record.
CCAAUCCCCUCGAUUCCCUUUCGACCCACCCGUUCCCACGCGGUUCAGAAUCAUCGAGGCCCCCUAGAGGAUUUGGCUGCUCGACUCGAGACGCCGCCGCCGCCGCUGCGCCGCCUCCUUCCCAAGUCGCCGCGCCACCCGACGCCUCGACGCCGGUGAUCUCCUCCGGCAUACUGGACUUCUCACUGGUGGUUCUCAAGCACCAAAAGAAGCAACAAUAAACAAGCUGGAGGGACAACUUUCUCUCAGAUUCUCAAAGAUAGAUGAUCAUGACACCAAAAGAUGGAUAUAUCUGUAUGCGAAAUUAUAACUGAUCUUGAGCUAUUCCAGAAGUACUUGUGUUGCGUUAUCUUUGCUGCAAAAUUAUGUUGGGGCUGUGAUGAACUGUUGUUGCUGCGAAAGAUCAUGUUGUCAUGAUAAAUUAUGAUUCCUGGGAUUUGGGAUUCGAAGCCAUGCUAUUAUGAUAAAUUAUGAUGUUGUUGUGAUGAUA